RNAcentral lists this ribosomal RNA (490 nucleotides) under uncultured bacterium. Its description in RNAcentral is "bacterial SSU rRNA". It matches the Rfam family "Bacterial small subunit ribosomal RNA", at positions 903 to 1397 of the family's 1533-position model. The record is from RNAcentral.
AAAGGAAUAGACGGGGACCCGCACAAGCGGUGGAUGAUGUGGAUUAAUUCGAUGCAACGCGAAAAACCUUACCUACCCUUGACAUGUCAGGAAUCCUAAAGAGAUUUGGGAGUGCUCGAAAGAGAACCUGAACACAGGUGCUGCAUGGCUGUCGUCAGCUCGUGUCGUGAGAUGUUGGGUUAAGUCCCGCAACGAGCGCAACCCUUGUCAUUAGUUGCUACGAAAGGGCACUCUAAUGAGACUGCCGGUGACAAGCCGGAGGAAGGUGGGGAUGACGUCAAGUCCUCAUGGCCCUUAUGGGUAGGGCUUCACACGUCAUACAAUGGUGCAUACAGAGGGUUGCCAAGCCGCGAGGUGGAGCUAAUCCCAGAAAGUGCAUCGUAGUCCGGAUUGAAGUCUGCAACUCGACUUCAUGAAGUUGGAAUCGCUAGUAAUCGCGGAUCAGCAUGUCGCGGUGAAUACGUUCCCGGGUCUUGUACACACCGCCCGU